GGGAUGACACAGUAGGAUAAGCUAAGCACACUGUUGGUUAUGUGUGCCCAAGCAUUGAGGCAGUCAAAGUAGGCAAAUCCGCUUUGAUAAUGCUGGGAUGUGAUGGGGAGCGAAAUUUAGUAGCGAAGUAGCUGAUUUCACACUGUCAAGAAAAGUCUCUAUCGAGGUUAAAGGUACCCGUACCGCAAACCGACACAGGUGGGUGAGGAGAGUAUCCUAAGGCCAGCGAGAGAACUGUAGUUAAGGAACUCGGCAAAAUGACCCCGUAACUUAGGGAUAAGGGGUGCCACCAUCAGGUGGCCGCAGAGAAUAGGCCCAAGCGACUGUUUACCAAAAACAUAGGUUUCUGCUAAGUCGCAAGACGAUGUAUAGGAGCUGACGCCUGCCCGGUGCUGGAAGGUUAAGGGGAUCUGUUAGAGCAAUCGAAGCAGUGAACUUAAGCCCCAGUAAACGGCGGCCGUAACUAUAACGGUCCUAAGGUAGCGAAAUUCCUUGUCGGGUAAGUUCCGACCCGCACGAAAGGCGUAACGAUUUGGGCACUGUCUCAACAACAGACUCGGUGAAAUUGUAAUUCCGGUGAAGAUGCCGGAUACCUGCGACAGGACGGAAAGACCCCAUGGAGCUUUACUGUAGCUUGACAUUGGGUCUUGGUACUACAUGUACAGGAUAGGUGGGAGGCUUUGAAACCAGGACGCCAGUUUUGGCGGAGCCCUCCUUGGGAUACCACCCUUGUAGUACUGGGACUCUAACCAUAGGCCAUGAAUCUGGUCUUGGGACACUGUCAGGUGGGCAGUUUGACUGGGGCGGUCGCCUCCCAAAAGGUAACGGAGGCGCUCAAAGGUUCUCUCAGUACGG
RNAcentral lists this ribosomal RNA (855 nucleotides) under Clostridioides difficile. RNAcentral's name for it is "partial 23S ribosomal RNA". It matches the Rfam family "Bacterial large subunit ribosomal RNA", at positions 1466 to 2330 of the family's 2925-position model. Lineage: Bacteria; Bacillati; Bacillota; Clostridia; Peptostreptococcales; Peptostreptococcaceae. The record is from RNAcentral.